UACGGGGGGGGCAAGCGUUGUUCGGAAUUACUGGGCGUAAAGGGUUCGUAGGUGGCUCGCUAAGUCAGACGUGAAAUCCCUCAGCUUAACUGGGGAACUGCGUCUGAGACUGAUGAGCUCGAGUGCAGGAGAGGAACGCGGAAUUCCAGGUGUAGCGGUGAAAUGCGUAGAUAUCUGGAGGAACACCGGUGGCGAAGGCGGCGUUCUGGACUGCAACUGACACUGAGGAACGAAAGCCAGGGGAGCAAACGGG
RNAcentral lists this ribosomal RNA (253 nucleotides) under uncultured bacterium. RNAcentral's name for it is "partial 16S ribosomal RNA". It matches the Rfam family "Bacterial small subunit ribosomal RNA", at positions 524 to 776 of the family's 1533-position model. The record is from RNAcentral.